ACAUUAAUUGAAUAUCAUCAUCAUAUAAUCGCGGGGAUAUGGCCUGCAAGUUUCUACCGGUUUACCGUAAAUGAACCGACUAUGAGAAAUAAUACAGUGUUG
This 102-nucleotide non-coding RNA is filed under the name Virgibacillus sp. SK37. Its description in RNAcentral is "Purine riboswitch aptamer". It matches the Rfam family "Purine riboswitch aptamer". Rfam says of the family: Riboswitches are metabolite binding domains within certain messenger RNAs that serve as precision sensors for their corresponding targets. Allosteric rearrangement of mRNA structure is mediated by ligand binding, and this results in modulation of gene expression. A class of riboswitches that selectively recognises guanine and becomes saturated at concentrations as low as 5 nM. The record is from Rfam by way of RNAcentral. RNAcentral also lists the same sequence under 1 other name. Lineage: Bacteria; Bacillati; Bacillota; Bacilli; Caryophanales; Bacillaceae.